RNAcentral lists this long non-coding RNA (506 nucleotides) under Nicotiana tabacum (common tobacco). RNAcentral's name for it is "long non-coding RNA (NTAB_LNC012677)". Lineage: Eukaryota; Viridiplantae; Streptophyta; Magnoliopsida; Solanales; Solanaceae. The record is from RNAcentral.
UCAGGGAUUGGAGCCCUAAUGCUGGCUAACCGGAAAAACGCUCAACUCAGGGGUUGGGGCCCUAAUGUCAGCUAAAGAAAAAUGCUCAACUCAGGGAUUGGAGCCCUAAUGUCGGCUAAAGAAAAAACGCUCAACUCAGGGAUUGGAGCCCUAAUGCUGGCAAACAGGAAAAAUGCUCAACUCAGGGAUUGGAGACCUAAUGUCGGCUAAAGGAAAAACGCUCAACUCAGGGAUUGGAGCCCUAAUGCUGGCUAAAAGAAAAAUGCUCAACUCAGGGAUUGGAGCCCUAAUGUCGGCUAAAAGCGAAUCGUUCAACUCAGGGAUUGGAGCCCUAAUGUUGGCUAAAGGAAAAACGCUCAACUCAGGGAUUGGAGCACAAAUGUUGGCUAAAGGAAAAACGCUCAACUCAGGGAUUGGAGCCAUAAUGCUGGCUAAUAGAAAAAAUGCUCAACUCAGGGAUCUGAGCCCUAAUGUCGGCUAAAGAAAAAACGCUCAACUCAGGGAUU